Molecule: transfer RNA, 75 nt
Organism: Gregarina niphandrodes
Lineage: Eukaryota; Apicomplexa; Conoidasida; Eugregarinorida; Gregarinidae
Rfam family: tRNA
About the family: Transfer RNA (tRNA) molecules are approximately 80 nucleotides in length. Their secondary structure includes four short double-helical elements and three loops (D, anti-codon, and T loops). Further hydrogen bonds mediate the characteristic L-shaped molecular structure. tRNAs have two regions of fundamental functional importance: the anti-codon, which is responsible for specific mRNA codon recognition, and the 3' end, to which the tRNAs corresponding amino acid is attached (by aminoacyl-tRNA synthetases). tRNAs cope with the degeneracy of the genetic code in two manners: having more than one tRNA (with a specific anti-codon) for a particular amino acid; and 'wobble' base-pairing, i.e. permitting non-standard base-pairing at the 3rd anti-codon position.
Source: Rfam
AGCCCCGUAGCGCGUAGGACUUGGUGCGCAGGACUUCAAAUCCUGAGGUUGCGGGUUCGAGUCCCGCCGGUGGUU